UAUCUCUGUAGAGUCUGCAUAUCAAUAAGCGGAGGAAAAGAAACUAACUAGGAUUCCCUCAGUAACGGCGAGUGAAGCGGGAAGAGCUCUAAAUUUGAAAUCUUCAAGGUUCUACCUUGACGAAUUGUAGUUUAAAGAAGUGUUUUCUGUUGGAGUUUUGGUAAAAGUUCUUUGGAAUAGGACAUCAUAGAGGGUGAGAAUCCCGUAUUUGACCAUUAUUUCCAGCUUUGUGAUACACUUUCAAAGAGUCGGAUUGUUUGGGAAUGCAGUCCAAAAUGGGUGGUAAAUUUCAUCUAAAGCUAAAUACUGGCGAGAGACCGAUAGCGAACAAGUACCGUGAGGGAAAGAUGAAAAGAACUUUGAAAAGAGAGUUAAACAGUACGUGAAAUUGUCAAAAGGGAAGCGUUUGACACCAGUGUUGUUUUCUCGAAAAAUCAAUUAAAAAAGGCAGGAUUUUGUGUUGUAUUGACUUUAUCAGCUUUCUGCACUCUUUUCUUGUCUUUUUUUAAUGCACUUUUCGUUUAACAAGUCAACAUCAAUUUCUUUUGUUGUAAAAGGGUCAUUGGAAGGUGGCUUUCUUUUCGGAGAAAGUGUUUAUAGCCUUUGGCCUCUGCAAUCGGAGAGAUUGAGGUCUGCAGCGUAGAUCCUUCGGGGUUAGAUACAUUUGUGCUAAGUUAUAGCCUUUCAUAGACAACUUGUUGACUAUGAUCAGUCAUGUAGCUUACUCGCUUAUGCUAUUUUACCUACGCUUAGGAUGUUGAAGAUGUAGCACAUCAU
RNAcentral lists this ribosomal RNA (777 nucleotides) under uncultured Neocallimastigales. Its description in RNAcentral is "partial large subunit ribosomal RNA". It matches the Rfam family "Eukaryotic large subunit ribosomal RNA", at positions 24 to 635 of the family's 3401-position model. The record is from RNAcentral. Lineage: Eukaryota; Fungi; Neocallimastigomycota; Neocallimastigomycetes; Neocallimastigales.